RNAcentral lists this long non-coding RNA (379 nucleotides) under Homo sapiens (human). RNAcentral's name for it is "HSALNT0345201". The record is from RNAcentral. Lineage: Eukaryota; Metazoa; Chordata; Mammalia; Primates; Hominidae.
GCUGGCCAGGGGCUGUGGCCGGAAGAGCCUGAGUCUGGGGCCCACAGCAGGCCAGGCACAACUCUGCCACUCCCCAGGGAAGGAGAUGACUUUUAUCAUCAGUACAUGUCACAAGAAAACAUUUAAAAUGACACUGAAACAAUCAUUGAAAUCAUGGUGCAUGGAGGAAAAAGCCACUUCUCGACAUGGUCUGCACAUACAGUAGAUACAUUCAUUAUUGUCCAAGGGAAGACAGUAACUGCCUUUCAUUUUAAAGAGCUUGGUGGAGAGGCUGAAGAAAUGUGCUGCAGCUGAAGGAGGCCUCAGCUCCUGAAGCUCUGAAUUUACAGUACACAGUAGCAGACGGCUUGCCCUUUGGAAGGCUCCAUGGAAAGAAGGC